AUCUGAUGAUGAGGGCAACUUGCGCACAACCUCUUAUACCUCUCCCAUUACUCAUACAAGCUCUCACCAUGUUGUUGCCUAAUUCCAGAGAUAUCCUUCCUGAUU
Molecule: small nucleolar RNA, 105 nt
Filed under: Lupinus albus (white lupine)
Lineage: Eukaryota; Viridiplantae; Streptophyta; Magnoliopsida; Fabales; Fabaceae
Description: Plant small nucleolar RNA R71
Rfam family: Plant small nucleolar RNA R71
About the family: R71 is a member of the C/D box family of snoRNAs containing the C (UGAUGA) and D (CUGA) box motifs. Multiple nearly identical copies of this snoRNA have been identified in Arabidopsis, and it is thought to function as a 2'-O-ribose methylation guide for 18S ribosomal RNA.
Source: Rfam by way of RNAcentral